This 24-nucleotide non-coding RNA is filed under the name Arabidopsis thaliana (thale cress). Lineage: Eukaryota; Viridiplantae; Streptophyta; Magnoliopsida; Brassicales; Brassicaceae. The record is from RNAcentral.
AUAGGAGAGGGUUCAGUUGACCCC